Non-coding RNA from Edhazardia aedis, 46 nucleotides. Lineage: Eukaryota; Fungi; Microsporidia; Culicosporidae. The record is from Rfam.
UGAAAGGUUUUUCUUAAAACUAAAAAUAUUUAAACAAACACAAUAU